UGCGGUGAGGUCACGCGCGGUGGGCGGCUCUGCCGCGGGGCGGCGGCGCGGCGUGGUCAGGGCGGGGCUCACGGACAGACGCAUUGUCAGACCCGGGCUCGCAGGGCCGGCGAGGGGGCUAUAGCGCCUCCAGUCGACCAGGAGCUCCCAGAGGGCAGGGUGUUGUCCCACCCACUCUGUGCCUUGCCCCAGCCCUGUUCUGAGUUGAAUCGAAGACCAGCUGCUCUCCACUUCCCUGCUCCCACUCUGCCCUCUCACCUCCAGCCAUGGCGCCCCUGCUCGCCCUGUUCCUGGUGGCCUUGGUGGGCCUACCUGUGGCCCAGGCUCUGGACUGCCACGUGUGUGCCUACAAUGGCGAGAACUGCUUCAACCCCGUGCGCUGCCCGGCCAUGGUCACCUACUGCAUGACCACGCGCACUUACUACACCCCGACCAGGAUGAAGGUGAGCAAGUCAUGUGUGCCCAGCUGCUUUGAGACCGUGUACGAUGGCUACUCCAAGCACGCGUCCACCACUUCGUGCUGCCAGUACGACCUCUGUAACGGCGCUGGCCUCGCGGCCCCUGCAACCCUGGCCCUUGUACUCCUGGCCACCCUCUGGGGUCUGCUCUAAAGCCCCGUUCCGCCCUCCACAGACUCAGUCGAGGGCAAAGUGCUCAGCAGCAAGGCCCCACCCUCUCCCCCUGCACCGCCCUCCCCAGACCCACCCAGCCGCAUCCAGGAGUGUCUGCAGGAGGACUCUUGACCUCCCCCAGCCACCCUGGGGUCUGCUUCCAGGUCAUGACCUGUUGUUUUCAGAAGGCCAAUGUGGGACCACACCUCCCAAGGCAUCUGGCUUUGAUGGGGCAGCUCAGCCCCCUCCUCUAUCCAAGGAUGGGGGUGUGGGCACGGUGUGCUGUUUAUGGGGGAUCUUCAGUUGGCCGGUGAACACUGAUGUGAAGUCGUGGCUCUAAGCACUGCAAGACAACCCUGCAAGGUAGGAGCCGUUAUCAUGCCCCUUUCACAGAUGAGGAAACUGAGGCACAGAGAGGUGAAGUAGUUGCCCAAGCCAGGUGGGACUUCUUGUCCCCCGCCCCCACUGCACCCCUGCCCCACCCUGCAGUCGCUUCUCCCAUCAGCUGGGAGAGGAAGGGGAAGCUGAGAAGGUGGGUUUAUAAAUUUAAGAGGAUUUUAGCAUGUGAAAUCAUUAUAACAGCUUAGGGUCAGGAAAGAUAGAGAAAAUCAGCACCAGGAGGUUUGAGAAGCCAUGAAGGACAGAGUCAGGGCGUCCAGCCCUGUGUCUGGGUGCUGGGCCAGGGGUGGAAUAGCACAGAGGAGGGCAGAGGGGAGCCAGGCACUCCGAGGUCACCUGGCCCAGACCCCUUCCCCACCUGUGUCAGGAUCGUGGGGCCCCAACGGAAACGAGAGCCCGCUCAGCAGGCGGAGAGGCCCAGGCUCUUUCUCGCGGCUCUUCGCGACGUUUCAGAUCUGGAAGCAGCCUGCCUGUCUCGGGAGCGGCUGCUUGACUGUGGUGGCACCUGCGUGGACUCCUGUGCCGUCCGUCUGCCUGGGACACAGCUGCGGCCCCGGUGCAGGCGGACGUGCACAGCGGAGGCUGGACAGCUGCUUCUCACCUCCCUCUGUAACAUCUGAUUUGGGGUGAUGAACGUGUAUUUUUUUCAUGAUUCUAAACCUCUGAGAAAGGUAAAAAGAAAGUGAGAGGUCUCUUUCUUUUUCAUCUCUCCCUGUCCCCCAAAUUUUGUUGGAUCCUGUCCCUCAGGCUGAUCUGGAGCUUGUCGUUCACAUCUCUGAGCCUCUGUUGUCUUGCUGAUAAAAUGGGGACAGUAGCGCCCACCAGGCUGGGGCGUAACUGCCCAGUCUGGGGCCUGGCACACAGAAGGCACCGGGUGGACAGAUGGAUGAACGGAUGGACAGACAGACGGACGGUGCCCUUUCUGUCCACUUCCUGACCCCACCCAGCAUGGGCAUCGACGUCAGGCCAUGGCCCCCCUCCCUCACACGGCCUCCCAGAGAGGUCUCGUUUGCACCUCCUCGAGCUAGUGAAUAAACGGAUGAAUACG
RNA transcript from Balaenoptera acutorostrata (minke whale), 2058 nucleotides. It is a transcript of the gene named Ly6/neurotoxin 1, with no coding region annotated. The transcript is spliced from 5 exons. The record is from RefSeq and is a predicted model, not a curated record. Lineage: Eukaryota; Metazoa; Chordata; Mammalia; Artiodactyla; Balaenopteridae.